Molecule: long non-coding RNA, 859 nt
Filed under: Nicotiana benthamiana
Lineage: Eukaryota; Viridiplantae; Streptophyta; Magnoliopsida; Solanales; Solanaceae
Description: long non-coding RNA (NBEN_LNC016660)
Source: RNAcentral
AACUUUUUUUCCUUCUAUUACCCCGGCUUAGAUGUGGGUUAUAAGGUACUUGAAAAUUCUUCGGAGGCUGGUGGAGAUUUCGUGAUGCUCGUGCUCGCUUUCUUGGGUGAUUUGAUGGCUGGACAACAUAUUGGGAUGGAUCAACAGAGUAUGGUGGGUUCUGAGGUGGAUACUAAUGCUUGGGGGGCUCAUGGAAAACCUGAUGAGGCUGCACAUACCUUUGAGGUGUUCUUCUAGGACCUCUUCUCGACCCUAAUAUCAUCAUAAUUUCUUCAUCCCUCUCUUUCGCGUCACCAUAUUCAAUUUGGACAGCCUGAGCUGCAGCUUUGAGUGCUGCUUGACUUACAAUUCUGCAUGUCUUAAGACCGUUCUCUACCAUUUCUCCCAUUCUGAUUGCUUCUAAGAAGGAUUUACCAACUGCGGACAUCAUGUUUUGAAAUUAAUCCGGCUCUUGAACAUGAAGGAAGACAAUGAUUAACUUGUGGUCAUCCAUGGGUGGCUUAGCUCGAGCUGCUUGUUCACUCCAUUUAAUGGCAGGGAAAUGCGGUAUGGGCAAUGUCGAUGUUGUACUGGAACUGUUUGACAAAUGCUUGUGCCAUAUUAUUCCAGACAUACCGGUGAGAUGUGUCUUGAUCCAAAAACCAUUCAGAUGCUACUCCCGUGAGACUUUCCCCAAUAUAAGCUAUCAGUAAUUCUUCAUUUCUUCUCACACCUCUUAGUUGAUUGCAAUACCUUUUUAGGUAGGUUAUGGGGUCUCCAUGUCCUUUUUAGGUAGGUUAUGGGGUCUCCAUGCCCAUUGUAUUUUUCAAAUUUUGGAAUAUUGAAACCAUGCGACACAUGGACACCGGGGAACAUACAU